UGGGGAAUUUUGCGCAAUGGGCGAAAGCCUGACGCAGCAACGCCGCGUGUGUGAUGAAGGUCUUCGGAUUGUAAAGCACUUUCGACCGGGACGAAAACCCUGAGGCUAACAUCCUCAGGCUUGACGGUACCGGGAGAAGAAGCACCGGCUAACUCUGUGCCAGCAGCCGCGGUAAUACAGAGGGUGCAAGCGUUGUUCGGAAUUAUUGGGCGUAAAGCGCGUGUAGGCGGCUUUGCAAGUCGGGUGUGAAAGCCCUCAGCUCAACUGAGGAAGUGCGCCCGAAACUGCAGAGCUUGAGUGCCGGAGAGGGUGGCGGAAUUCCCCAAGUAGAGGUGAAAUUCGUAGAUAUGGGGAGGAACACCGGUGGCGAAGGCGGCCACCUGGACGGUAACUGACGCUGAGACGCGAAAGCGUGGGGAGCAAACAGG
Molecule: ribosomal RNA, 428 nt
Filed under: uncultured bacterium
Lineage: Bacteria
Description: bacterial SSU rRNA
Rfam family: Bacterial small subunit ribosomal RNA
Source: RNAcentral